RNAcentral lists this ribosomal RNA (1043 nucleotides) under Acinetobacter baumannii. Its description in RNAcentral is "partial 23S ribosomal RNA". It matches the Rfam family "Bacterial large subunit ribosomal RNA", at positions 1270 to 2297 of the family's 2925-position model. The record is from RNAcentral. Lineage: Bacteria; Pseudomonadati; Pseudomonadota; Gammaproteobacteria; Moraxellales; Moraxellaceae.
AUGCUGGAGGUAUCAGAAGUGCGAAUGCUGACGUGAGUAACGACAAAACGGGUGAAAAACCCGUUCGCCGAAAGACCAAGGGUUCCAGUCCAACGUUAAUCGGGGCUGGGUGAGUCGACCCCUAAGGCGAGGCCGAAAGGCGUAGUCGAUGGGAAAAUGGUUAAUAUUCCAUUACUUCUGUGUAAUGCGAUGAGAGGACGGAGAAGGCUAAAUCAGCCUGGCGUUGGUUGUCCAGGUGAAAGGAUGUAGGCAUGUAUCUUAGGCAAAUCCGGGGUACUCUAUGCUGAGAUCUGAUAGCAAGCUGUACUUGUACAGCGAAGUGGUUGAUGCCAUGCUUCCAGGAAAAGUCUCUAAGCUUCAGUUACACAGGAAUCGUACCCGAAACCGACACAGGUGGUCAGGUCGAGUAGACCAAGGCGCUUGAGAGAACUCUGCUGAAGGAACUAGGCAAAAUGGUACCGUAACUUCGGGAGAAGGUACGCUGUUGUUGGUGAUGGAACUCGCUUCCUGAGCUGACGACAGCCGCAGAAACCAGGCCGCUGCAACUGUUUAUUAAAAACAUAGCACUCUGCAAACACGAAAGUGGACGUAUAGGGUGUGAUGCCUGCCCGGUGCUGGAAGGUUAAUUGAUGGGGUUAGCGUAAGCGAAGCUCUUGAUCGAAGCCCCAGUAAACGGCGGCCGUAACUAUAACGGUCCUAAGGUAGCGAAAUUCCUUGUCGGGUAAGUUCCGACCUGCACGAAUGGCAUAAUGAUGGCGGCGCUGUCUCCAGCAGAGGCUCAGUGAAAUCGAAAUCGCUGUGAAGAUGCAGUGUACCCGCGGCUAGACGGAAAGACCCCGUGAACCUUUACUGCAGCUUGACACUGAACUUUGACCUUACUUGUGUAGGAUAGGUGGGAGGCUUUGAAGCUGGAACGCUAGUUCCAGUGGAGCCGUCCUUGAAAUACCACCCUGGUAAUGUUGAGGUUCUAACUCUGUCCCGUGAUCCGGGACGAGGACCGUGUCUGGUGGGUAGUUUGACUGGGGCGGUCUCCUCCUAAAGAG